This 462-nucleotide long non-coding RNA is filed under the name Olea europaea subsp. europaea. The record is from RNAcentral. Lineage: Eukaryota; Viridiplantae; Streptophyta; Magnoliopsida; Lamiales; Oleaceae.
CUAAAUAUUAAGUUUUGACACAGGUUGACGAUGCAGAGACAAUAGAUCUGCUUACUGAGGAGAUGGACUCAGUUGAUACAGAACAAGACAUUGGAUCGGUUUGAAUCGACUCAACUUCUUUCUGGCUCCUACGAUAAAGAAUGUGCUGUUAUCACAAUCACAGCUGGUGCAGGGGGUACUGAUGCACAGGUAAUACCAGCUCUUAAUUUCGAACCAUUUCCCCUCGAUGGAUUGUGGAGUCGAUGAUUUACACUUGCUCCAUCCACAGAAUGGAUGUAAAUAUGAACUGAACCUACUAUCAGAUUUUCAGACCUAAACUUGUGUCCUCAAUUAUUAACUGAAGUGGCCAAAAGUGCUUCAAAGAUAUACUGAACAAAUCCAUCAAAAUUGUGUAUGUGUAAUUUGCUACAAAGAUAUAGUGUGAUGCCAGAAGAAAGUUCUCAUGUUUCUUUCUGAAAUUGG